This 177-nucleotide unclassified non-coding RNA is filed under the name uncultured fungus. Its description in RNAcentral is "sequence contains ITS1". The record is from RNAcentral. Lineage: Eukaryota; Fungi.
UUCAUUCAUUUAAUCAAUACUCCGACGCAAAGAGACAGCGUUAAAUGGUCCUCCGGGGGCGGCGGCGGACGCUCUGCCCCCGAGGCAAAAGGGUUUUGGUCAACAAUGGGUUGGGGACGGGGGCGCGGAGGCCCGCCAUCUUUGGUAAUGAUCCCUCCGCAGGUUCACCUACGGAGA